UACGUAGGGGCCUAGCGUUGUCCGGAUUUAUUGGGCGUAAAGAGCUCGUAGGCGGCUUGGUAAGUCAGGUGUGAAAUCUCCACGCUCAACGUGGAGGGGCCACCUGAUACUGCCAUGGCUUGAGUCCGGUAGGGGAGUGUGGAAUUCCCGGUGUAGCGGUGAAAUGCGCAGAUAUCGGGAGGAACACCCGUAGCGAAGGCGGCACUCUGGGCCGGUACUGACGCUGAGGAGCGAAAGCGUGGGGAGCAAACAGG
Molecule: ribosomal RNA, 254 nt
Filed under: uncultured bacterium
Lineage: Bacteria
Description: partial 16S ribosomal RNA
Rfam family: Bacterial small subunit ribosomal RNA
Source: RNAcentral